CCGCCGCCCGAUUGCCGA
This 18-nucleotide small nuclear RNA is filed under the name Arabidopsis thaliana (thale cress). RNAcentral describes it as "snRNA_13445". Lineage: Eukaryota; Viridiplantae; Streptophyta; Magnoliopsida; Brassicales; Brassicaceae. The record is from RNAcentral.